CGGACGGGUGAGUAAUGUCUGGGAAACUGCCUGAUGGAGGGGGAUAACUACUUGAAACGGUAGCUAAUACCGCAUAACGUCGCAAGACCAAAGAGGGGGACCUUCGGGCCUCUUGCCAUCGGAUGUGCCCAGAUGGGAUUAGCUAGUAGGUGGGGUAACGGCUCACCUAGGCGACGAUCCCUAGCUGGUCUGAGAGGAUGACCAGCCACACUGGAACUGAGACACGGUCCAG
This 232-nucleotide ribosomal RNA is filed under the name uncultured bacterium. Its description in RNAcentral is "partial 16S ribosomal RNA". It matches the Rfam family "Bacterial small subunit ribosomal RNA", at positions 99 to 334 of the family's 1533-position model. The record is from RNAcentral.